GCUCCGAUAGUGUAGAGGCCAAGCAUCCAGCCCUUUCAAGGCUGAGACCCGGGUUCAAAUCCCGGUCGGAGCG
Molecule: transfer RNA, 73 nt
Filed under: archaeon
Lineage: Archaea
Description: tRNA-Glu
Rfam family: tRNA
About the family: Transfer RNA (tRNA) molecules are approximately 80 nucleotides in length. Their secondary structure includes four short double-helical elements and three loops (D, anti-codon, and T loops).
Source: RNAcentral